UGUAGGUUCCAAUGAGAGUCUGGAUUGUGGUUGAAGGUAUUUUGGACCAUUCCUCUUUACAAAACAUCUCUAGUUCAUUCACGUCAACAUUUUUGAUGAAGCUUUUUCUUUGGAGCGGAACUUAAAUCAGACAGUAAGAACCUGCUUUUUUCAUUUGAGGAACAUCUCAAAACUUAGAUCUAUAGGGACUAUUCUAACAGUGUUUUUUUUAUCUGUGUAAACAAGAAAGGGCUGGCUCAUCUCCAGGUUGAUCAAAAGUCUGCAGCAAGACUACUGGCUUGCUCAAAGGAGCUCAUGUAACUCCUGUUUUAAAGUCGCUACAUUGGCUACCAAUCAGAUUUAGGUUCCAUUUUAAGAUUUUAGUUUUAACCUUCAGAGCACUACAGGGACAGGCCCCUCCCUAUAUAAUCUGAUUUGAUUUGUAUUCAUACCUGUUUUCGUAACUUGACAUUGAAUCAAAACCUUUCAGUGGCCCCCCACACUCGUUUCAGAACUUGAGGGGACUGAUCUUUCCAAGUUGUUGCACCCAGACUAUGGAAUGCACUAACCCUAACCCCCUAACCCUAACCCUCCUCCGUUUCUAUGCUGUCUGGACUCGGUGGAGACGUUUAAAAAGCAGCUUUUUAUUUCAAAAAGCUUUUGAAAGUGCUGUCCGUCUGGACCAGGGUUUUUAUGAUGUAUUUAUAACUGUACUAUGUUUUGUUACCUGUCUUGUGAAGCACUUUGUGACAUAUGUCUGUGAAAAGUGCUAUAUAAAUAAACUUUUACUUUACUUUUGUAAAGUUAAAGUUUACUUCUGAGUUAACAGGCAAAGGGGAGACUGAAUCAGGGUUACUUAACUCCGGUUGAGUGGCUCUUAAGAAAUUAAUCCGGGCUCGGAAGUUCUGGAAUCCAACUGUGGAAAGGAGCAUCGGCGGCACGUAUGCCACUUGCUCCUGGGAGAGGGAAAUGGUGGAGAAAUGAAGGCCUGCUCCUCAUCCUCCAACCACAUCGCAGCCAGAAAAAAAGGCAGGUGAGUACUGUUCCUGUUGAAGUGUGGAGGAGGUGAUAUUCCGUUGCAGGGGCGUAGAAACACUUUCCAGUUGUUGCUGUUGCUGCUGGAAUCUGCUGCUGCUUUGGUGUGGAACGCCGGGAGUGGACCAAGCUUGCUAGCUUCUGAGCUUGUAGCAUGUCCCGCACAUGCAGCUUUUUAACCAGGCCCGUUAUUUCCGGAAGCUGGUGAAAAUGUGGAUUAUCCUCUAGAAUUGCCUCGAUGGCGUUUAUCCCUACCACCCUUGCCCUGGUAUCUGAGGUGUGUGAAAUUUGCUUAAUCAGGCCUUGGAUGCUGGCCAGGUUGCUCUCCUGGGAUAAGCCCACUGGGUCUAUGUAGUGGUCGUGUCGUUCUGUCAUGGAGCGCUGUGUGGCAGGGAGAAAAGGAACCAAUUGUUUUGAUUGUGAGAGAUAACGAACCAAAGAUCAUUCUAUUGAGAGAUAUGGAGCCAGCGAGGAAGAGAGGAAGUUAUGUGGCAGUAUCUUUAGUUGAUUUUGGUCAAUUUUUUCUUGUUGUUUGCUUUUGAUUUGUGUGUGUAUAUUUUAUCUUAAAUCAUGAAAAAUUUAAAAUGUCAAAAAUCUGCUUUUCAUAAUAUAAAUAUCAUUACAUUACUUUAGAAAGACUUCCAUUUGACUCUUUAAAUUUAAUGUAAUAAAAAAAAAACUUAGUAGCCAGAUAAUUGUUGUGUGGUGUUUUGGUCUUUCUGUGUUUUUGUGUCUCCUUUUCUGGCACAGGUAGGCGGGGCAGCGAUUUCAGUGAAUCGCGGAGACACAAGCCCCAGCUCACCCGAGAGUGGAGGCCGAAGUGUUCGAGGUAUGCCCCGAGGACUCGCUGCCGUUGCGCCAUGAGGGACACUAAGGCCCUGACAGACUCCAGGGACAUGCCUAGAAAAGGUGGUCUGAGAUGGUUCCAACCUGCACUUCUUGGGAUUCAGGUGGAGCUCCAGAGCCUGAACAUGGGAGACCAGAAGGGCAACAUGGCUGUGGCACUGUUCUACUGAGGAGGCGCAGACCGGCCAGUCGUCAGGUAAUUCAAGAUCCUGAGGCCCAGCAGCCUCAUAAGUGCAAGGGUUAUGCCCACACACCUGGUGAAGGUUCAGGGUGCCAGGGAGAUACCAAAGAGGAAGACGAGGAACUCGAAGAUCCGCCCCUCGAACCCGAAUCUGAGGAACUGCCAGUGCCCCUGCCAGGUAGGGAUCUCAAAGUAGGCGUCCUUCAGAUGGAUCGUGGCAAACCAUUCCCCCUCAUUGACGGCCUGACGCACCCUGGGGAUCGUCAGCAUCUUGCACUUCAGGGACCAGAGAUAACAACUGACUCCCCCGAGGUCCAGAAUGGGACGAAGAACCCUGUCCCGCUUAGGAACCAGGAAGUAGCAGGAGAAAAACCCUGCUUGGCUGUCCCAAGCGUCUACCGCCCAUAUGGCCCCCUUCGCCAGGCUGGGUGGCCUGGCUCCAAGAGAUGUCAGGAGGAAGGGGGGCGGCUGGAGGGUGGCUGAGCCUUGGCCUCACAUCCUCCCUGCCUGCCCUGAGCGUGGCCGCUGCGUCUACGAAAGGCCUCCAGCUCGGGUCGGAGAUCUCCAAGGCCCCAAGCUGGAGGCUUACUCUGGCCGAAUGCUUUCGCAGGCCUCGUGACACCUCCUGAGCGGUAUGGCGAGUUUCUGUGUUCAGUCAAUCACACACGCACAACCCAAGUGGAGAUCAAAUGAUCCCCGAUGUCAUGUUUGCACAGCUGUUUUAUACGUAAGGUGUCAGGUGUGGCCGGGCUAACCGGAGUGUCUUAAUGGAAUAUCCACAUGCCACGACCAAGGAGGGUCAUACCCUGUACAUAUGAAAUAUGUAAUGGAGUGGAAAGAUGUCUCGAUAUGAUAGAGAACAUCUUUUCCUGAGGCUGAAUGGAGUUUCAGUUUACAUCCCAGCACCACAUCUCUCAGUUUCUCUCUUUGCUGCUCAGUCUGGCUUCUGAUAACUUCCCCGGAGAUUGUAUUUUCAGACUAAAUCGAGUGCGCCACCGGUGUGUGUUUGUCCUGCAAGUCCUGGCUCUGUCAGGGACCUGGGCCUGAGUGACCCAGGGUCCAAGAGCAGUUAUGGACUAAUAUAAUAUAUUACGUACUAUGCACUGGGUUUCAGGCAGGCCUGGUGGGUGUGUCCCGUCUGGAGGUGGCCACACCUGAAGCGGAUGAUCACACACACCUGCAGCCAAUAGUCUGUGGGACCCAGGAAGACCGUAUACCUGCAGCUCUACCAGUGUUUGUGCACUGCAGCCUCUUCUGUUCCAUGUGAGAGGAUUUUCUCUAAGGCAGGAGAAAUUAUCUCCAAAUAAAGAAACAGACUCGGCCAUCGCAUAACGGAACAAAUUCUCUUCUUAAAUAAAAACCAAACAGGAUAACCUUAAAUGCAUCAUGUUUUUACUUCACAAGUUCAUAAGCAUUUUCCUUUUCCAGUUCA
This is a long non-coding RNA of Oreochromis niloticus (Nile tilapia), 3473 nucleotides long. RefSeq lists it as uncharacterized. Lineage: Eukaryota; Metazoa; Chordata; Actinopteri; Cichliformes; Cichlidae. The transcript is spliced from 3 exons. The record is from RefSeq and is a predicted model, not a curated record.